This 468-nucleotide ribosomal RNA is filed under the name uncultured bacterium. RNAcentral's name for it is "partial 16S ribosomal RNA". It matches the Rfam family "Bacterial small subunit ribosomal RNA", at positions 28 to 507 of the family's 1533-position model. The record is from RNAcentral.
GACGAACGCUGGCGGCGUGCUUAACACAUGCAAGUCGAACGGAAAGGCCCUGCUUUUGUGGGGUGCUCGAGUGGCGAACGGGUGAGUAACACGUGAGUAACCUGCCCUUGACUUUGGGAUAACUUCAGGAAACUGGGGCUAAUACCGGAUAGGAGCUCCUGCUGCAUGGUGGGGGUUGGAAAGUUUCGGCGGUUGGGGAUGGACUCGCGGCUUAUCAGCUUGUUGGUGGGGUAGUGGCUUACCAAGGCUUUGACGGGUAGCCGGCCUGAGAGGGUGACCGGCCACAUUGGGACUGAGAUACGGCCCAGACUCCUACGGGAGGCGGCAGUGGGGAAUAUUGCACAAUGGGCGGAAGCCUGAUGCAGCAACGCCGCGUGCGGGAUGACGGCCUUCGGGUUGUAAACCGCUUUCGCCUGUGACGAAGCGUGAGUGACGGUAAUGGGUAAAGAAGCACCGGCUAACCACGUG